UAGUCCACGCCGUAAACGAUGUUCACUCGCUGUUGGCGAUAUACUGUCAGCGGCCAAGCGAAAGCAUUAAGUGAACCACCUGGGGAGUACGAUCGCAAGGUUGAAACUCAAAGGAAUUGACGGGGGCCCGCACAAGCGGUGGAGCAUGUGGAUUAAUUCGAUGAUACGCGAGGAACCUUACCAGGGCUUAAAUGGUUUUUGACCGUCGCCGAAAGGUGUCUUUCUUUUAGACAAUUACCAAGGUGCUGCAUGGCUGUCGUCAGCUCGUGCCGUGAGGUGUUGGGUUAAGUCCCGCAACGAGCGCAACCCUUAUCCUUAGUUGCCAGCACGUAAUGGUGGGGACUCUAGGGAGACUGCCAGCGUAAGCCGCGAGGAAGGUGGGGACGACGUCAAAUCAUCAUGGCCUUUAUGCCUAGGGCGACACACGUGCUACAAUGGUAGGUACAGAUGGUAGCGAAGCCGCGAGGUGUAGCCAAUCUGAGAAAACCUAUCACAGUUCGGAUCGGAGUCCGA
RNAcentral lists this ribosomal RNA (513 nucleotides) under uncultured bacterium. RNAcentral's name for it is "bacterial SSU rRNA". It matches the Rfam family "Bacterial small subunit ribosomal RNA", at positions 791 to 1308 of the family's 1533-position model. The record is from RNAcentral.